CCUGUAAGGUACAACUCAAGUUUCAAGUCGCAUUUAAACGCGGGGGUGACCCUUAGCCAUUAUGCCCUUCUUAAAGGGAAUUUUCACCGUCUCUCCCACCGGCCGACGAUGUUGUACUGGAAACCGUGGUCUCCUGUGUCCACUCGGACAGGACGCCCCCAAACCAGUUCUGUGUUUCUCUCACUCACGGAGGGCAGGUCAGGACCACGUGGCGAGGACCAAGCCCCAGCGAGUCCCGGUGAGGACGGGGCAGCCAGCAGGCGCUUCCCCACACCAGCCAGCAGGUGACAGACAAGCCAGGAGGGACGGGAAGGUGUCACCACUGACAGCCGCCAGAGACUCACAUCGACGGACACAAACGACAGGACCCCGGUUCCAAAGGAGCAAAGGAUAUAACCACGCGAUUCCCGAAGAUCUGACCCAGACGCGCAAGCACUUUGGGAAGGUGUCCACAUUGCCAAGCAGUGGAGGAAACGCAGGUGAAAAGGACAACGGAACCGGACGCACUCGGUGACCGCAGGAACGGGUUUGAUUAAAGCAGCCGGCGCUGGCGAAAAACCACAAAUAGGCGCACGCCGUGGCCCUGCCCUGGGGCCAAGCCCGCGACGCAGCACUCGUGCACACGCCAUCACCGUCCAGCAACGGGACGGUGCGGCUGGAGGUCCCUGCCCCGUGAGGGGGGCAGCCGAGGUAAGAGAUGCACGGGGGAGGAGGGCACUCAAGAUCAGGCACAUACACCACUGUGGUCACGAGUUUGUGCAAAGCUCUGUGUGACUGGGGUGAACAAACGUGCAAAUACACGACCUACACCCACGCCAGGUGUUCCUUUCCAUGCAGAAACGCGAUCAGAACGGGCUUGCUCUGCAGUGUGCCCUUUCCCUCCGCGUAGGGGCCUUUCACGGCCCGCACAGUGUUCCUUCCCACAGCGGCGGAGGCCCUGGCCCCCACGGCGUCACCGGCCCCAGGGCCCCAGGGCGCGCUUCCUGGCUGAGGGCUGAGGGCCAGCGUCCCUGGGCGACCUGGUGAUCUGCAGCUCCCUCCCUGUGUGUGUGUGUGUGUGUGUGUGUGUGUGUGCGCGCGCGCGCGCACGCGUGCGUGUAUUCUGGAUGCCAGACCCUUGGUAACUACGUGUCAAAUCUUUCUCCUAGGACGACACUCGAUUUUUAACUCGAUGGUACCUUUUCUCGCUCAAAACUUGCCCGGUUUUACACAACUGAUUUUGUUAAUCCUUCGCUUUAUGCGUUCGGGGUCUUCGACUAGCCUCGCACAGCCUUCUCUAACCCCUAAGUUACACGAGAGACCUCCGGUGUUUCCUGGCUCCUUACAGCAUCUGGAAGAUGUCCUCUUGUGAGUGCAGUGAGGGGGCACCAUUGCCCAGAGGCCUGUCGUCUGCCGCCCCGUCACUUGCCGCUGAGACUGGGCCACACCGUUCACGGGAACGCCACAGAGCAAACGGAGCCGUGUCUCGUUCGUUCAUGUCCUCUCACGUGUCCCGCGGGAGAGCCGUUGCCAGUGUCUCCGCGCGCGUGGGGGGGACCCGACGCCGGUGCGCAGGUCGUCCGCGAGCCUUCCCCCGUGCCGCCGUGUCCGGGGUCAGGAGCAGCACCCACAGCGUCUUGUCUCGGGCCGAGAGUCGGGACAGAUUUUCACAGCUUCACCAAACUGGAAGGAGCUCCCUUCUUUUCCCGGUUUCCGAGUGUUCAGGGAGCGGGGCUUACACAGCCUCAGAGGAUUCCGCGGCACUCGUUAAGGGCCCCUCCCUCUGCCUCGGAGGCGGACGCAUGGCAGACCGGCUCCCCCAGCCUCUCCUGGCCUCCCUGUUGCCGCACGAGGGAUGUGGCGCCAGGCACGCGCUCUGCACGAAGGGGUCCUUGCCGCCAUCGAGGCCUUCCUUUGAGCCCCCGGACGUGGUGGGGCCGGAGUCCGACCUCACCUGACAGGGGCCGCCUGCCCCGCACAAGACUUUACACUCCAGCUUUCAGAAUCUUUCUUUCUCCGGACAGCAGAGAAGCAGGCUUUGCUUUACGGACCACUUGGGGAAUCUUUAAACAGGAAGAAAAACGGAAUGCUACAGCCGACGCCCGUACCUCUCACCCGGACACGCCGCCUACUGACACUUCCGCACGUUUGCUUUCUCCUCGUCACCUAGCCCGCAGAGGUGCCCGCGCACACGCUCCUUCCCUCGCCCUCUACCAGUGAGCUCUUCGGACACGUCAACGCUGUCCUCCCGAGGAGCUCCCUGUGCAGACACUUAGCCGUCAGGGACGGCACCGUGUCCACAGUGGGGUUUCCCGCACGGUCUCCAGGGGGUCCCGUCCGGCAUCCCAGCCCCAGGGUCUAGGGUCCCGGCAGGAAGCGCACGGACCGCGGCAUCUGCCUCGUCUCCUCGUGGUGGGGCCGCGGCCUCCCUGGGGACGACCCUGCGAGGUCCCUGGGACCAUCCUAACCUGGUGCGUGAUCAUCUUCUACCUCGUUUCCGGCCAUCCUUCGCGGUAGCCACCCGCUCCUGCUGGACGACGGCCUCAAGGCCGAGCAGCGGACACGAGCCUCGUGACUGCCUUCCCCACGCACGGCGCCCGGGCACCACAGAGGCCGCCCCCGGGGUCAGAGCAGCCCUCCGCGCACACACCCGGGAAGGGCCGUCCUGGCGGGCGGGAGCCAACCCGUGCGCGUCCCGGAUGCACCUUCUUCCGUUCACCCCCACCGGCAAACGGGCGGCGUGGCCCCUGCUCCGAGGACAUCGGUCCCUCUGGCCGACGUAUCCUGCAAACUGCACACCUGGGCUGUGCGGCCGAAAACGUGUAACUCUCCUCAUCUUUUCUCCUCUUUUCACCGACCCUCGGUCCGGCCUGUUUGGUACUUUGUGCACGCACCAGCAGAUGCACGCGGCCCCAGGACGCCCUCACGCAGACAGGCCCUCAGGCAGGCAGCUGCCGGAAGACGCCGUGCCCCUCAGGAGAAAACGCAUAAACGUCUGAAGACCGGGCCACGUGGACGGGACCACAGACAGGCCUGUGGCCCCGGGGCACAGCGCAGCACACGGCCCGUGGGGAGCUGGCAGCACUACCUUGUCUAUGGUGAGCAUGUAGAAGUGUGUGAUGUCGUUCUCGUGUGCGUGUUUGAUCCUCGCCAUGCACUCCUCCUCGUCAAUCAGCUCACCGACGUACUCAUUCACGAACUCUCCCUGGAAGGCGGAACGGCAGACCGUGACCGUAGUAAACAACGGGGUCCGGGUGCAGGAGCCCGCGCCCGAAGCGCCCGGAGCCGGCAACCGCGCGCAGCGUCACGAUGCGGUCCGGGGCGCGUCUUCCCAAGUCCCUGGAAGUUCAGGUCUACCUCAACGACUCCAUACUCGGCUGUCAGGGAACAGUUCACCCGAGCGUCCUUCCCAAAGCGGCACCCUAACUCUCGCUUCCUGCAGCAACUGCCUCUGGGCACCCUGGCGGCACACCCCGAGCUCCCACACGGCCGGCUGCCACGGCUCGCCUUCCCUAGCAGAGUCUACACGGCGAGAGCCCGGAGGAACUGGCCGCCGAGGCGGGCAGUGGAACCAGACCCCGCAGGGGCCGUGCGCGUUUCAGAGCCGCUGCUCUCGCCCGGGAUCGGCCCUGAACCAGACCUGGGGUCUGAGGCCGCCGCCGCCCCCCAGGCCACAGCCUGGCCUCAUAAGCCAAUUCCGGCUGCCUCUCUACUUCCGGCUGCCCAGCCUAGGACAUGGGCAGGCCGUGUGUGGCCUGUGGCCUUGACGGACCACCUGGUCCCGCGCUGCCCCGGACGGAACGGCCGCCCAUCCAGGGCAGGGCUCCUUCACAGUCUUUCCUGUCAUAGAGCAACCACCAAAAUGCCAAGUGGAGGCCAAGUCAGGGGCCUGCUGAGUUUUACUUUGCUAGACAGCACGCACGUAACGUUUUACGACAUUCAACCGUAGUAACUCAGACUUUUUAAAAACCCCGUUCUUACGUGCGUGCAAAAGCGUACUAAGCAUAUCCAAGCGUAAACCGCCAGCCGGCCCGGGACUUCUUGCAAGCAAGGAAAGGGGCUCGGCACACACCUUUCUGAUGUCCCGCUUGGCGACCAGGCCCCACCCUUUGCCGUCGGUCUUGAUGAUCUUGGUCUCGGGGUACUGGCGCUUGGUGAAGCACUGAUUCUGGCAGUACUCGCCCGCGGGGCACACCUGCGGGUGGCACUCGAACAUCAGCAUCCGGUUCAGACACUCCGAGUCGAAGCCGCAGGGGUUCUCGUCGGUGGGCUUACAGUUGCACUUGGGGAUCUCAGAGAUGUCGGCCGUGUGGAUCUGGACUUUCCCAUAGGGCUUGUUCACCUGCCGGGGACACGGGGGCGCGUCAGACAAGAGAGCAAGCACCCCGGCCUCCCGCCGGUCCCCACGCUGCAGAGGAGGGUGGCGGGGGGGGGGGGGGGGGGAGGGCACGCCCGCCCCCCCCCCCCCGCCCGUCACUUCACGUCCCUCGUCCACGCUUGCCCCGCCAGGCUGCCAGAAGUCAGGCGCACAAGCACGUGCUGAGCACGGGGCAGGGUCCCUGUAGCCGGGGACCCGCAGGCAGGUGACCAGGGAGGCUCUGCCCUGGCAAACUCGCGGUUCACGGUGACAGCACAAGAGCAACCCGACCACAAAGCCACAGACAGAGGGGAAGAGGGACUGAAGCAGAGGCCAGUAAGGCGAGGGGAAACGUGGCGGAACAAAGGCCCUCCUCACUGCUGGGCCGCGACAGCGAAACACAGAAGCGCGAUCUGAAAACCCGCCUCAGGAGCCCUCAGGUCCCAAGCUGUUUGACCCAGGAGCCCCAUUUCCACGAAGUCAUCCCUGAGGAAACACUAGCCCCAGAGAACGUGUCACCUGCACACGCACACACAGGGCGCGCCGCCCGGAUCUGAGGAGCAAAGACGCGGCCUUGAGCGGCCAGAAGGCAGCUGACACACCGUGUUGAGGGGCUGCCGGGCCCCAGGCGGCAGGACACGGUGACAUCGGCUCACCCUGUGUGGCUGUGAGGAGCUCCUGGACCCCUCUCCCUCCCACCCCGUGGGGACGUGGGGACCCAGGUUCCCUGCCGGGACUGCCGGGCUCGCCGGAGGCAGCACGGCCGCCCCCGCAGUCCUUGUGCGGCAUCCACACCCUCUCCGGCGGGAACAUCGCUUUGUCUCCAGGGCUCCGGCUGACCAAGCCACGUUCCAGCCGAGCACCGGCCCGGGCUGGCCACCUCCCAUCCAAGCUCGUCCCCAGCGCCGGGUGACGACGGCGUGCCCGCCACCACCCCCCGUGCCUCACGGGCUCCCGGCUGGAGCCUCACACGAGGGCAAAACCCAAAACCGUGGAGACCCCCCGCCCCCCAGAAAGGACACACGCUGGGCAGUGGCUGCACCUGCUCUCUGCCCGUGACCUCAGGCAGCGGUCCACACGGGGGCUGCAGACAGAUGCUUGCUCACGGCAGCCCUCUUACCCACUGCGGCCGGAGGGCCCACCCACGGUCCCCGCAGUGACCCCUGACCCGGCCCCCCACCCCCGUCACCUUAAUGUGCUUGUACGGCGGGGGCUUGCGCUCACUCUCCUGCGUUUCUCUGGCUUCCCUUUGAAGUUUGAUUUCACGAAAACGAGCUUCAGCUUCCUGCAGUGCUAAAAAGUCCACGAAAUAUGAGCGUGAGUAAGAGGUUUAGUGAAUUCACACCUCCACCUACAGGCUCUGCGUCUCAACGGCCGACGCAAGCCUCCGUGUCCCGCCAAGUGCGGUUACCAGUCUCCGGGAGGCUCUGGGGUGUGCACGCUGUUCAGGGCGGGCGCUUUAAAUGCCGCGAGGGUUUUCCACCCAAGAUGCUCAGAGAGCGCCGGGCCGAGGAGGCCUGGGAGGCGCUGCGCUGUGCCACCUGCCACCAGGAAGGCCCAGGGCGGGUUUCUCUGGGAGGGUGAUG
Molecule: long non-coding RNA, 5922 nt
Organism: Lynx canadensis (Canada lynx)
Lineage: Eukaryota; Metazoa; Chordata; Mammalia; Carnivora; Felidae
Exons: 4
Source: RefSeq, a predicted model, not a curated record